RNAcentral lists this ribosomal RNA (837 nucleotides) under Microbacterium sp. 8H-G6-184. RNAcentral's name for it is "bacterial SSU rRNA". It matches the Rfam family "Bacterial small subunit ribosomal RNA", at positions 60 to 906 of the family's 1533-position model. The record is from RNAcentral. Lineage: Bacteria; Bacillati; Actinomycetota; Actinomycetes; Micrococcales; Microbacteriaceae.
AGUCGAACGGUGAAGCUCCAGCUUGCUGGAGUGGAUCAGUGGCGAACGGGUGAGUAACACGUGAGCAACCUGCCCCGGACUCUGGGAUAACAGUUGGAAACAGCUGCUAAUACCGGAUACGCACCAUACAGGCAUCUGUUGUGGUGGGAAAGAUUUUUUGGUUCGGGAUGGGCUCGCGGCCUAUCAGCUUGUUGGUGAGGUAAUGGCUCACCAAGGCGUCGACGGGUAGCCGGCCUGAGAGGGUGACCGGCCACACUGGGACUGAGACACGGCCCAGACUCCUACGGGAGGCAGCAGUGGGGAAUAUUGCACAAUGGGCGGAAGCCUGAUGCAGCAACGCCGCGUGAGGGAUGACGGCCUUCGGGUUGUAAACCUCUUUUAGCAGGGAAGAAGCGAGAGUGACGGUACCUGCAGAAAAAGCGCCGGCUAACUACGUGCCAGCAGCCGCGGUAAUACGUAGGGCGCAAGCGUUAUCCGGAAUUAUUGGGCGUAAAGAGCUCGUAGGCGGUCUGUCGCGUCUGCUGUGAAAACCCGAGGCUCAACCUCGGGCCUGCAGUGGGUACGGGCAGACUAGAGUGCGGUAGGGGAGAUUGGAAUUCCUGGUGUAGCGGUGGAAUGCGCAGAUAUCAGGAGGAACACCGAUGGCGAAGGCAGAUCUCUGGGCCGUAACUGACGCUGAGGAGCGAAAGGGUGGGGAGCAAACAGGCUUAGAUACCCUGGUAGUCCACCCCGUAAACGUUGGGAACUAGUUGUGGGGACCUUUCCACGGUCUCCGUGACGCAGCUAACGCAUUAAGUUCCCCGCCUGGGGAGUACGGCCGCAAGGCUAAACUCAAGA